AUGCUGACCCAGCCCAGGGCAUGCUAUGGCAUGCCAAGCUAUGCCAUGCUGUGCCAGAUUGGUUGUGCCAUGCCACGCUGGACUGAACUGGGCACCGCUGCCCAGGCCACACGUUCUGUGCUGCUCUGUGGCCACCAGGACAGACCUGGGCUGAACCACACCAAGAUCCCAACCCCAUCCCUGCUGUGCCAGCCCCAGGCCGUGCCAUGCUGCGCUGUACCAUGCCAGGCAGACUGUGCCAGCCCCAAGCCAUCAUCUGCGUGCCAGAGCUGGGCUCUGUGUGCUGGGCUGUGCCAGGCCCGGGCUGUCCCAUGCUGUGCCAUGCCAUGCUGUGCCAUGACGUGGCAGACUCUGCAGUGCCAGCAUGUGCUGAGCCAGGCAGACUGUGCCAGCCUUUGCCAACCACAUGGUGUGCUAUACUGUGCCAUGCCAUGCCAGACUGUGCCACACUGGGCUGUACUGAGCCAGGCAGGCUGUGCCAGACCCAGAAUGUACCAUGCCCUGUCAGCCCCACACCCUGCCAUGCCAUGCCAGCCCCAUGCCAUGCCAGCUCUGUGCUAUAUGCUGUGCCAGCUUUAUGUUGUGCCAGCCCCCUGCCAUUGCAGCCCCAUGCCAUGUCAGCUUCAUGCCUUCCUCUGCAGUUGUGCUGUGCCAUUCCAGCCCUGGGCCAUGUGGGUCUCAUGUCAUGCUGUGCCAUCCCCAGGCCAUGCCAGCCCCCUGCUCUGCCGUGCCACUUUAUGCUGUGUUGCACUGGCCCCACACCGUGCCAGCCCCAUGCUGUGCCAGCCCCACGCUGUACCGUGCCAGCCCCAUGCUGUGUUGUGCAAACCCCAUGUUGUGCCAGUGCCAUUCCAUGCCAUGCUAUGCCAUGCCAUGCCAUGCCAUGCCAGUGCUGUGCUGUGCUGUGCCAGCCCCAUGCCAUGCUGUUCCAGCCCCGAGCUGUGCCGUGCCAGCCCCGAGCUGUGCCAUGCCAGCCCCGAGCCAUGCUGUGCCAGCCCCGAGCUGUGCCGUGCCAGCCCCGAGCCGUGCCAGCACUGA
RNAcentral lists this long non-coding RNA (1038 nucleotides) under Taeniopygia guttata (zebra finch). Its description in RNAcentral is "lncRNA (ENSTGUG00000024521.1)". Lineage: Eukaryota; Metazoa; Chordata; Aves; Passeriformes; Estrildidae. The record is from RNAcentral.